GGCUGGUCAGCUUAGUUGGUUAGAGUGUGGUGCUGAUAACACCAAGGUCCAAGGUUCGAGCCCUGUACCAGCCA
This is a non-coding RNA of Galeopterus variegatus (Sunda flying lemur), 74 nucleotides long. Lineage: Eukaryota; Metazoa; Chordata; Mammalia; Dermoptera; Cynocephalidae. The record is from the annotation of a RefSeq genome assembly.